AGCGAACACUGGCGGCAGGCCUAACACAUGCAAGUCGAACGGAUCCUUCGGGAUUAGUGGCGGACGGGUGAGUAACACGUGGGAACGUGCCUUUUGGUUCGGAACAACUCAGGGAAACUUGAGCUAAUACCGAAUGUGCCCUUCGGGGAAAGAUUUAUCGCCAUUAGAGCGGCCCGCGUUAGAUUAGCUAGUUGGUGAGG
Molecule: ribosomal RNA, 200 nt
Filed under: uncultured bacterium
Lineage: Bacteria
Description: partial 16S ribosomal RNA
Rfam family: Bacterial small subunit ribosomal RNA
Source: RNAcentral